GAUGAACGCUGGCGGCGUGCCUAAUACAUGCAAGUCGAGCGAACAGACGAGGAGCUUGCUCCUUCGACGUUAGCGGCGGACGGGUGAGUAACACGUAGGUAACCUACCUAUAAGACUGGGAUAACUUCGGGAAACCGGAGCUAAUACCGGAUAACAUUUCGAACCGCAUGGUUCGAUAGUGAAAGAUGGUCUUGCUAUCACUUAUAGAUGGAUCUGCGCCGUAUUAGCUAGUUGGUAAGGUAACGGCUUACCAAGGCAACGAUACGUAGCCGACCUGAGAGGGUGAUCGGCCACACUGGAACUGAGACACGGUCCAGACUCCUACGGGAGGCAGCAGUAGGGAAUCUUCCGCAAUGGGCGAAAGCCUGACGGAGCAACGCCGCGUGAGUGAUGAAGGUCUUCGGAUCGUAAAACUCUGUUAUUAGGGAAGAACAAACGUGUAAGUAACUGUGCACGUCUUGACGGUACCUAAUCAGAAAGCCACGGCUAACUACGUG
This 497-nucleotide ribosomal RNA is filed under the name uncultured bacterium. Its description in RNAcentral is "partial 16S ribosomal RNA". It matches the Rfam family "Bacterial small subunit ribosomal RNA", at positions 28 to 507 of the family's 1533-position model. The record is from RNAcentral.